AUUGAACGCUGGCGGCAUGCCUUACACAUGCAAGUCGAACGGUAACAGGUCUUCGGAUGCUGACGAGUGGCGAACGGGUGAGUAAUACAUCGGAACGUGCCUAGUAGUGGGGGAUAACUACUCGAAAGAGUGGCUAAUACCGCAUGAGAUCUACGGAUGAAAGCAGGGGAUCGCAAGACCUUGUGCUACUAGAGCGGCCGAUGGCAGAUUAGGUAGUUGGUGGGAUAAAAGCUUACCAAGCCGACGAUCUGUAGCUGGUCUGAGAGGACGAUCAUCACCGCCGGGACUGAGACACGGCCCAGACUGCUACGGGAGGCAGCGGUGGGGAAUGUUGGACAAUGGGCGCAAGCCUGAUCCAGCAAUGCCGCGUGCAGGAUGAAGGCCUUCGGGUUGUAAACUGCUUUUGUACGGAACGAAAAGCCCUGGGUUAAUACCCUGGGGUCAUGACGGUACCGUAAGAAUAAGCACCGGCUAACUACGUGCCAGCCGCCGCGGUAA
This 498-nucleotide ribosomal RNA is filed under the name uncultured bacterium. RNAcentral's name for it is "partial 16S ribosomal RNA". It matches the Rfam family "Bacterial small subunit ribosomal RNA", at positions 30 to 523 of the family's 1533-position model. The record is from RNAcentral.